GGAGCCACUGGAACUCGACCUCGGGGGCUGUGACAGGGCUGAGCCACAGGAACGUGUCCGUGGAGAGAGAACAAACUGGGAACGGGAGGUGGAGUAUGCAGAGAGGGACAGAGAGAUCCGGGAGGAUCAGGAGUGGGAAGAACGAGGUGAUCCGAGAAGAAGAAGAAGACUGAGGGAGAGGAGGGUUGACCUUCAAGGGGAGCUGGAGGUGGAGGUCUCUGAGCGCCGCAGCCGCCAGACAUGGGACAGGGAGGAAAGAGAGACACAGGAGCUGGAAGAGGAUAGAAGGAGAGAACAGGAGUCAGUGAGGUACGAAAGGACAAGAGACACCAGAGCAGCAGCAGCAGAAGUUGAUGUGAAGGUCCACAGAGAGAUCCGUGAACUGGAGCCACGGGAGGAGCUGAGAAGGAGGGAACCUCCUCGUGAAGAGGAAGAGAGGAGAGUUUGCAGGAGAAGAGACAGAGAAGAGCCUGUUCUGGAGAGGAGGAUCGAUCGCCAGAGGGAGCUGGAGCUGGAGGUCUCUGAGCGCCGCAGCCGCCAGACACGGGACAGGGAGAGAGGGGUCAUCAUUGACCGGAGAGAGACCCGGGAGCUGGAAGAGGAUGGAAGGAGAGAACGUGAGUCAGUGAGGUACGAAAGGACAAGAGACACCAGAGCAGCAGCAGCAGAAGCCGACGUGAAAAUCCACAGAGAGAUCCGUGAAUUGGAGCCACGGGAGGAGCUGAGGAGGGAACGCGACCGUGAAGUGGAAGAGAGGAGGGUUUGCAGAAGAAGAGAGAGGGAAGAGCCUGUGCUGGAGAGGAGGGUUGAUCUUCAAGAGGAGCUGGAGGUGGAGGUCUCUGAGCGCCGCAGCCACCAGACACGGGACAGGGAGGAAAGAGAGACACGGGAGCUGGAAGAGGAUGGAAGGAGAGAACGUGAGUUGGUGAGGUACGAAAGGACAAGAGACACCAGAGCAGCAGCAGCAGAAGCUGAUGUGAAGGUCCACAGAGAGAUCCAUGAACUGGAGCCACGGGAGGAGCUGAGAAGGAGGGAACGUGACCGCGAAGUGGAAGAGAGGAGGGUUUGCAGGAGAAGAGACAGAGAAGAGCCCGUUCUGGAGCAGAGGAUCGAUCGCCAGAGGGAGCUGGAGGUCUCUGAGCGCCGCAGCCGCCAGACACGAGAAAGAGAGGAAAGAGGGGUCAUCAUUGACCGGAGAGAGACACAAGAGCUGGAAGAUGAUGGAAGGAGAGAACGUGAGUCAGUGAGGUACGAAAGGACAAGAGACACCAGAGCAGCAGCAGCAGAAGCUGAUGUGAAAAUCCACAGAGAGAUCCAUGAACUGGAGCCACGGGAGGAGCUCAGAAGGAGAGAAGGUGACAGCAAAGUGGAAGAGAGGAGGGUUUGCAGGAGAAGAGACAGAGAAGAGCCUGUGCUGGAGCAGAGGAUCGAUCGCCAGAGGGAGCUGGAGGUCUCUGAGCGCCGCAGCCGCCAGACACGAGAAAGAGAGGAGAGAGGGGUCAUCAUUGACCAGAGAGAGACACGGGAGCUUGAGGAUGAUGGAAGGAGAGAACGUGAGUUGGUGAGGUACGAAAGGACAAGAGACACCAGAGUAGCAGCAGCAGAAGCUGAUGUGAAAAUCCACAGAGAGAUCCGUGAACUGGAGCCACGGGAGGAGCUGAGAAGGAGGGAACCUCCUCGUGAGUGUGGAGAAGAGAGGAGGAUUC
Long non-coding RNA from Manacus vitellinus (golden-collared manakin), 1706 nucleotides. Lineage: Eukaryota; Metazoa; Chordata; Aves; Passeriformes; Pipridae. The record is from Ensembl.